RNAcentral lists this ribosomal RNA (470 nucleotides) under uncultured organism. Its description in RNAcentral is "partial 16S ribosomal RNA". It matches the Rfam family "Bacterial small subunit ribosomal RNA", at positions 334 to 796 of the family's 1533-position model. The record is from RNAcentral.
CACUCCUACGGGAGGCAGCAGUGGGGAAUAUCGCACAAUGGGCGCAAGCCUGAUGCAGCCAUGCCGCGUGUAUGAAGAAGGCCUUCGGGUUGUAAAGUACUUUCAGCGGGGAGGAAGGCGAUAAGGUUAAUAACCUUGUCGAUUGACGUUACCCGCAGAAGAAGCACCGGCUAACUCCGUGCCAGCAGCCGCGGUAAUACGGAGGGUGCAAGCGUUAAUCGGAAUUACUGGGCGUAAAGCGCACGCAGGCGGUCUGUCAAGUCGGAUGUGAAAUCCCCGGGCUCAACCUGGGAACUGCAUUCGAAACUGGCAGGCUAGAGUCUUGUAGAGGGGGGUAGAAUUCCAGGUGUAGCGGUGAAAUGCGUAGAGAUCUGGAGGAAUACCGGUGGCGAAGGCGGCCCCCUGGACAAAGACUGACGCUCAGGUGCGAAAGCGUGGGGAGCAAACAGGAUUAGAUACCCGAGUAGUCC